Molecule: small nuclear RNA, 104 nt
Organism: Neomonachus schauinslandi (Hawaiian monk seal)
Lineage: Eukaryota; Metazoa; Chordata; Mammalia; Carnivora; Phocidae
Source: RefSeq, a predicted model, not a curated record
GCUUGUUUUAGCAGACAUAUGCUAAAGUUGGAAUGACACAGAGAAGAUUAGCAUGGCCCCUGCUCAAGGAUGACACACAAACUCGCGAAGUAUUCCAUAUUUUU